GACGAACGCUGGCGGCGUGCUUAACACAUGCAAGUCGAACGGAAAGGCCUGCUUUCCCUUGUGGAUUGCGGGUACUCGAGUGGCGAACGGGUGAGUAACACGUGAGUGAUCUGCCCCCAACUUGGGUAUAAGCCUGGGAAACUGGGUCUAAUUCCCGAUAGGACUGCAGGGUGGUGCCUGUGGUGGAAAACGAUUUUCUAGUGGUCGGGGAUGAGCUCGCGGCCUAUCAGCUUGUUGGUGGGGUAAUGGCCUACCAAGGCGGCGACGGGUAGCCGGCCUGGGAGGGUGGACGGCCACAUUGGGACUGAGAGACGGCCCAGACUCCUACGGGAGGCAGCAGUGGGGAAUAUUGCACAAUGGGCGGAAGCCUGAUGCAGCGACGCCGCGUGGGGGAUGACGGCCUUCGGGUUGUAAACUCCUUUCGACCGCGAGGAAGCCACCUGGUUGGAAGGGUGGUGACGGUAGUGGUAGAAGAAGCACCGGCUAACUACGUG
This 494-nucleotide ribosomal RNA is filed under the name uncultured bacterium. RNAcentral's name for it is "partial 16S ribosomal RNA". It matches the Rfam family "Bacterial small subunit ribosomal RNA", at positions 28 to 507 of the family's 1533-position model. The record is from RNAcentral.